This 219-nucleotide long non-coding RNA is filed under the name Homo sapiens (human). RNAcentral's name for it is "HSALNT0341946". The record is from RNAcentral. Lineage: Eukaryota; Metazoa; Chordata; Mammalia; Primates; Hominidae.
CGGAGCUGUUCCUAUUUGGCCAUCUUGGCUCCUCCCCCGACAAUUUCUAGAAAAAGUCAUAAGAUCAGCAAGAAGAGAAACUGUAGAUUUGCCUCAACUCAACAUGUUAAGUAAUCGCCUGACAUCUACAUAAGACCACCUCUUGGCACCUGGCUACACAAGCUGAAAUGGUUGUCUUUGGAAAAAGAAUAGACAUUCAUGGCAGACCAAAGAUCACUC